AAAAGGUUUCUCGCGCGCGAGAGGGGGGGCUCUCACAGCUAUUAAUUUCUUAUAUCUUGAUAUCCUACUUGAUAAACUGGUGGUAAUUCUAGAAGCUAAUACAUGCACCAAAGCUCCAAAUUUUUGACAAGCGCAUCUAUUAGUUUAAAACCAAUCGGGUUUCCGCCCGUUUGUUGGUGACUCUGAAUAACUAUGGCUGAUCGCAUGGUCUAGAACCGGCGACGUGUCUAUCAAGUGUCUGCCUUAUCAACUGUCGAUGGUAGUUUAUGUGCCUACCAUGGUUGUAACGGGUAACGGAGAAUAAGGGUUCGACUCCGGAGAGGGAGCCUGAGAAACGGCUACCACAUCCAAGGAAGGCAGCAGGCGCGCAAAUUACCCACUCUCGGCAUGAGGAGGUAGUGACGAAAAAUAACGAGACCGUUCUCUAUGAGGCCGGUUAUCGGAAUGGGUACAAUUUAAACCCGUUAACGAGGAUCUAUGAGAGGGCAAGUCUGGUGCCAGCAGCCGCGGUAAUUCCAGCUCUCAAAGUGUAUAUCGUCAUUGCUGCGGUUAAAAAGCUCGUAGUUGGAUCUGCGCCUCAGGACUUGGUCCGCCCACUGGGUGAGAACUGGGCUCCUGGGCUAGUUCUGCUGGUUUUCCCUACGUUGCCUUCAUCGGUAGCGUAGGGUGGCUAGCGAGUUUACUUUGAAAAAAUUAGAGUGCUUCACGCGGGCUUAUGUCUGAAUACUCGUGCAUGGAAUAAUAGAAUAGGAUCUCGGCUCUAUUUUGUUGGUUUUCUGAUCUGAGAUAAUGGUUAAGAGGGACGGACGGGGGCAUUCGUAUCGCUGCGUGAGAGGUGAAAUUCUUGGACCGUAGCGAGACGUCCGACUGCGAAAGCAUUUGCCAAGAAUGUCUUCAUUAAUCAAGAACGAAAGUCAGAGGUCGAAGCAGAAAAAACCCCCCACCACACAAAAAUUUGUUU
This 961-nucleotide ribosomal RNA is filed under the name Iheringascaris sp. n. 24 NJ-2013. RNAcentral's name for it is "SSU rRNA". It matches the Rfam family "Eukaryotic small subunit ribosomal RNA", at positions 65 to 1044 of the family's 1831-position model. The record is from RNAcentral. Lineage: Eukaryota; Metazoa; Nematoda; Chromadorea; Rhabditida; Raphidascarididae.